ACGGGAGGCAGCAGUGAGGAAUAUUGGUCAAUGGGCGGAAGCCUGAACCAGCCAAGUCGCGUGAAGGAUGAAGGUAUUAUGUAUUGUAAACUUCUUUAGACGUAGAGAAAUAAGGGGGUCGUGACCUCUGGUGCUAGUAUACGUAGAAUAAGGAUCGGCUAACUCCGUGCCAGCAGCCGCGGUAAUACGGAGGAUCCGAGCGUUAUCCGGAUUUAUUGGGUUUAAAGGGUGCGCAGGCGGCUUUUUAAGUCAGUGGUUAAAUCGUGGAGCUUAACUCCAUCCCGCCAUUGAUACUGGAGAGCUUGAUUGCGGUUGAGGUUGGCGGAAUUCGCCGUGUAGCGGUGAAAUGCAUAGAUAUGGCGAAGAACUCCGAUUGCGUAGGCAGCUGACCAAGCCGUAAAUGACGCUCAUGCACGAAAGUGCGGGGAUCGAACAGGAUUAGAUACCCUGGUA
This 453-nucleotide ribosomal RNA is filed under the name uncultured Porphyromonadaceae bacterium. RNAcentral's name for it is "partial 16S ribosomal RNA". It matches the Rfam family "Bacterial small subunit ribosomal RNA", at positions 341 to 792 of the family's 1533-position model. The record is from RNAcentral. Lineage: Bacteria; Pseudomonadati; Bacteroidota; Bacteroidia; Bacteroidales; Porphyromonadaceae.